GUCCACGCCCUAAACGAUGAAUACUCGCUGUUAGCGAUACACAGUUAGCGGCUAAGCGAAAGCGUUAAGUAUUCCACCUGGGGAGUACGCCCGCAAGGGUGAAACUCAAAGGAAUUGACGGGGGCCCGCACAAGCGGAGGAGCAUGUGGUUUAAUUCGAUGAUACGCGAGGAACCUUACCCGGGCUUGAAAGUUAGUGAAUCAUUUAGAGAUAGAUGAGUGAGCAAUCACACGAAACUAGGUGCUGCAUGGCUGUCGU
This 258-nucleotide ribosomal RNA is filed under the name uncultured bacterium. RNAcentral describes it as "partial 16S ribosomal RNA". It matches the Rfam family "Bacterial small subunit ribosomal RNA", at positions 793 to 1055 of the family's 1533-position model. The record is from RNAcentral.